This 87-nucleotide transfer RNA is filed under the name Candidatus Bathyarchaeota archaeon. RNAcentral's name for it is "tRNA-Ser". It matches the Rfam family "tRNA". Rfam says of the family: Transfer RNA (tRNA) molecules are approximately 80 nucleotides in length. Their secondary structure includes four short double-helical elements and three loops (D, anti-codon, and T loops). Lineage: Archaea; Thermoproteati; Candidatus Bathyarchaeota. The record is from RNAcentral. RNAcentral also lists the same sequence under 1 other name.
GCCGGGAUGGCUGAGUGGAUAAAGCGCAGGCCUUGAGAGCCUGUGGCCCUGUGGGCCGCAUGGGUUCGAAUCCCAUUCCCGGCGCCA